This 86-nucleotide transfer RNA is filed under the name Desulfonauticus sp. Its description in RNAcentral is "tRNA-Leu". It matches the Rfam family "tRNA". Rfam says of the family: Transfer RNA (tRNA) molecules are approximately 80 nucleotides in length. Their secondary structure includes four short double-helical elements and three loops (D, anti-codon, and T loops). The record is from RNAcentral. Lineage: Bacteria; Pseudomonadati; Thermodesulfobacteriota; Desulfovibrionia; Desulfovibrionales; Desulfonauticaceae.
GCCGAAGUGGUGGAAUUGGUAGACACGCUAGGUUCAGGGUCUAGUGGGCUUUGCCCGUGGGAGUUCGAGUCUCCCCUUCGGCACCA